AUUGAACGCUGGCGGCAGGCCUAACACAUGCAAGUCGAGCGGAGUGGCGGACGGGUGAGUAAUGACCAGGAAUCUGCCUGGUAGUGGGGGAUAAGGUCCGGUAACGGACGCUAAUCCCACAUCCUAUUAGAUGAGCCUAGGUCGGAUUUGCUUGUUGGUGGGGUAAAGGGCUACCAAGGCGACGAUCCGUAACUGGUCUGAGAGGAUGAUCAGUCACACUGGAACUGAGACAGGGUCCAGACUCCUCCGGGAGGCAGCAGUGGGGAAUAUUGCACAAUGGGCGAAAGCCUGAUCCAGCCAUGCCGCGUGUGUGAAGAGGGUCUUCGGAUUGUAAAGCACUGUAAGUUGGGAGGCGUUACCCACAGAAAAAGCACCGGCUAACUUCGUGCCAGCAGCCGCGGUAAUAC
This 407-nucleotide ribosomal RNA is filed under the name uncultured bacterium. RNAcentral describes it as "partial 16S ribosomal RNA". It matches the Rfam family "Bacterial small subunit ribosomal RNA", at positions 30 to 526 of the family's 1533-position model. The record is from RNAcentral.